This 243-nucleotide long non-coding RNA is filed under the name Hordeum vulgare. RNAcentral's name for it is "long non-coding RNA (HVUL_LNC003990)". The record is from RNAcentral. Lineage: Eukaryota; Viridiplantae; Streptophyta; Magnoliopsida; Poales; Poaceae.
UGGACUGAAACUGAUGGCAUGGCACGGUUCUCUGCUUUCUUGUAGUGUCAGUAGUGAUAUGUCAUUGGCUUUGUACAUUAGUUCGAUUGUUUGUUUUCGUCUAGGUUAAGGACUAGCUGAUUUAAAAAAAAAUAUCUUUAUUAGAAGUUUCAUUGCAGGAAUGUGUUAUCUACAGAAAUGAGAAAUAACAUGAGUGUCACAGAAGUUGGGCUUCAGCGUUGGUCUUGAAGUAGUGACAGCAAG